Homo sapiens (human) is the source of this 5649-nucleotide long non-coding RNA. RefSeq lists it as uncharacterized. The transcript has 4 exons. The record is from RefSeq and is a predicted model, not a curated record. NCBI's taxonomy places the organism in Eukaryota, Metazoa, Chordata, Mammalia, Primates, Hominidae.
GUCCUGAGCACUCUAGCCAGCUUGGCUGCUCCACACUCCCAGCUAUCCCCUCACCUCAGAGUCACUUGCUUUGCCUGGGUUCUCCCUCCGUGAAAUACAUCCUCUCAAGCGGUAAGCUGGGCAACCGAGGGGUUCUCCUUGUUUGUUUCUUGCCUCUGAGAGAUCACUGUCUUUUGUUACCUCAUGUCCAGUGUCUUGAAACUCAUUAUUUCAUGUAUUUACUGUUUGGUUGGUUGUUUCAGGCAGGAGGAUAAACUUGGCCCCUGCUCCUCCAUCUUGGCUGGAAAGGGAAGUUGUAUCUGUACUUUCAGUCAAAAAUUUUUUUUUUUUUUUUUGAGACUCUGUUGCCCAGGAUGGAGUGCAGUGGCGCAAUCUCGGCUCACUGCAAGCUCCGCCUCCCGGGUUCACGCCAUUCGCCUGCCUCAGCCUCCUGAGUAGCUGGGACUACAGGUGCCCGCCACCACGCCCAGCUAUUUUUUUGUAUUUUUAGUAGAGAUGAGGUUUCACCAUGUUAGCCAGGAUGGUCUCGAUCUCCUGACCUCGUGAUCUGCCCGCCUAGGCCUCCCAAAGUGUUGGGAUUACAGGCAUGAGCCACCACGCCCAGCCUUCAGUCUGUUUUUGUUCAAACUGUGGAGCUGCAGAUUAAAGUUAUUCCAUUUUAGGGAAAAUGUCCACCAUACAUCCUACUUGCAAAGACUAUCCUCUCUGUCAAACCUGUGAGCCAAUUCUGACCUUCUAACAGAAAAAGUCUGAUUUUAUUUUUCCAUUCAAAUCAAUGUGGUUAAUAUGUAUCCUGUGUCAACCAUCUCACUUUCAGUUUAAAUUCUUCUUUAUUUCUUUUUUUAGAGUUAAGGUCUCGCUCUGUUGCCAGGCUGGAGUGCCAUAAUGUGAUUAUGGCUCACUGUAACCUCGAACUCCAGAGUUCAAGUGAUCCUCUUGCUUCAGCCUCUGGAGUAGCUGGGUCUACAGGCGCAUAUCACCAUGCCCAGCUAAUUUUUAUUUUUAUUUUAUUAUUUAUUUAUUUAUUUUGAGAUGUAGUCUCGCUCUGUCACCCAGGCUGGAGUGCAAUGGCAUGAUCUUGGCUCACUGCAACCUCUGCCUCCAGGGUUCAAGCGAUUGUCCUUCCUCAGCCUCCUGAGUAGCUGGGACUACAGGCAUGCUCCACCACGCCCGGCUAAUUUUUGUAUUUUUAGUAGAGACAGGGUUUUGCCAUGUUGGCCAGGCUGGUGUUGAACUCCUGACCUCAGAUGAUCUACCUGCCUCGGCCUCCCAGAGUGCUGGGAUUACAGGCGUGAGCCACCGCGCCCGGCCCAUGCCCAGCUAAUUUUUAAAAUUAUUUUUUGUAGAUACGGGAUCUUGCUAUGUUGCCCAAGCUGGUCUCAAACUCCUGGCCUCAAGCCAUCCUCCCACUUCAGCCUUUCAAAACACUGGGAUUAUAGGCAUGAGCCACUGUGUCUCACCUGAAGUUGAAUUAUUUUUAAAAAUUUUUAUUAUUUUUUCCUUUUUAAUAUAUAUUUAUAUAUUUUACAAUAUAACAUGUCAAUGAAUUUGAAUUCUUAAAUGAAGAAGGCACAGAACUGAGCCACAGGGCUGCCCCUGUGAACUUUCUCAAAGAAGCUCUCCAGGCUUUGCUCUUUCAAGGACUUCCUCAAGCAGAGCAUUCUCAAGUGGCCCUUUUAUUUGUUUUUUACAGCGCAGAGCAAGGAGCCAGAGUAGGAUUCAGAAUGAGGGAGGGGAGGCAACUGGGAAAGUGGAAGUUGGGAAGGACAGCUGUCAGGCCUGUGGCUUCUUAGGCCCACCAAUAUAAGGAGGGGAACAUAUGGAGAAGGCGGCUCUGGAAACUGAUUACUUUAAAACUAUCUGUGUCCACCUACCUUCUAGAAAGUCUUCAUGUCCUUGUAGGGGAGUGCAAACCCUCGUGUGAAGGCCUCUGACACCAAGUGUGAGAAGCCAUUGAUGGAGCCAUUACUGCUUCCUUCGUUGUAGCAGAAGGGAUGGGGAGAGGAGCAGGCAGGAGCGGGGGUAGAGCUUCUUUGAAGAAAGAGUCCUGAGGCUACAAAAUUUGAAAACUGCUGGAAUAAACGAUCGCCAAGGCCCCUUCCAGUCUGAGACGCUUGGUCUUCUGAAGCCCAGCUCAAGUUUUUCCUCCUCCAGAAAGCCUUUCUUGUUACCCAGUCCUGGGUACUUGAGCUCCAACAAUAAUGAUGAUGGCAGGCAUAUGGUGCCGUCCGUGAGCCAUCCGAUGCCUGCAUGUGUGCAUAAGCUGUCUCCCCAGCUAGAAGGAAAGCACAGGAGCCUGCUUCCAAAGAGGGACUGUCCCGUAAUUGAGAGAUGCUCCAAGGCUGACCAUCCUCCUUCUCCUGCUGCACACCCAGCAGCCAUCUAUGGCUGGAUUUGGAGAAUUUCUGGUCAAACCGUAGAGACGGGGUUUCACCGUGUUAGUCAGGAUGGUCUUGAUCUCCUCACCUCGUGAUCCGCCUGCCUCGGCCUCCCAAAGUGCUAGGAUUACAGGCGUGAGCCACCGCGCCCAGCCGAUCUUACUCACUCCUUAUAAAACCUCACAGAGGAGGUAUUUUCUUCAACUGAUAGAUUUGAAAACAGGUUCAGUGACAGAUGAAGAGCUGGUACUCAAACCCAGUUCUUCCGACUUGCAGUCCUGUGCUCUUUCUGCUGCAGUCGUCUGCUCUUUCUCUUGCCAGACAGAUUAUUGAGCACGUGCUGCACUCCUAAUUCCCAUCUUAGAGCCUUGGAACUUUCUCUUCCCUCUGCCUGGGUUGCUCUAUCCCCCCCGAUAACUGCAUGGCCCUCUUUUUUAUUCUGGUCUUGUUUCAACUAGUACUACCUCAGAGAAGCCUUUCCUGACUACUCUCUCUAAAAUAGUCACCCACCAGGUCUCAAUCUCCCUAUCUUGCUUUAUAUUUUUUUCAUAGCAUCUGUUGCAAUUGAAUAUUAUAUUAUAGAGUCGUUAUGUUUAUUGCCUAUCUUUCAUGUGGAAUGUGAGUGCUGGGAGAACAGGGGUCUGUUGCAUUUGUUCAUCUCCAUAUCGCCAGUGCCUUGGUAGUGCCUUGCACAGAGAAGGCGUCCUGGAAAUGUUUGUUGAAUGAGUGCUAGGCUGGCUGCUAAUAGUGGUGCUAGGAUGAAGAAGACCCGGUCCUUGCCUUCUAGGCACUCACAGUAGUUGGGAGGUGUUAACAGACCAACAUGUUGAAUGCUGUGAGUGGAGAAGUCACAGAGGGCUGAGGGAGCUCAGAGAGGGCCCAACUUUGACAGGGGGUGGGGUGGUCAGGGAAAGUUUGUGGAAGCAACUGCCAUCCCUCCACCUACCCUGUCAUGGGCCAUGGAGCACGGAGCAGAAGAUUUGCUUUGUAAGGAUGUGCACAGUUGGGAGAGGGAGUUGGGACACCCCCUCACCCCAAGGAACUUGUCAGAAAAGAGUUAGCAAGAGUCUUCUCCCAAAAUUACUCAUAAGGGCAAUACUCUGUGCAUGUGUGCAGCCCCACUCCUUGGGUAUAGGGAGAGGUAGAGUCUCAACCCCAGUGGCAGGAUUGCAGACCCAGAUUAGGAAAAGGUGGCUACAGAACAGAGUGCCCAGGGCCAUGGGGGGUUCCCAGAGGGGUUCUGGACUGGUCAGCCUUGCAGAGCCCUGUCUUCUUCUCCCCUGCCUCUGCCUGGCUCACCCAGCCUGCUCACCAGAGUUUGUGUAGCUCCCAAGGAGAGUCAGACCUAUGCGGAGCCAACCCUGGCUUCCAGUCCUGGCUGCUGCACUGCUGAAGGGGCUGUGAGCUGCAGUCCCAGCCUCAGUGGCAGAUGGGCAUUGCCCACAGAGGCUGAGUUCAGCCCAGAGACUGAGAAGAGGAACUAGGAAGGAAAAACAUGCUCUUUCUUUCUUUCCCAGAAGGAUGGCAGGCUGGCCCGGCAGUACAGGAGAGAAUGACCUUCAUGCUGAGGGUGAAAUGGGGGAGCAGUGGAGGUGGGCUUCUGACUCAAACACCCUUUGGCUCUGGGGCCUUGGGAAAGACACACAAUUCUUGGAGCAUUGGCAUCCUUGUCUGUUGAAGAUAUGAGAUAAUGCCCACCUCUUGGGUUUGGUGUGGGAAUUAACUGAUGUAACAUAUGUGAGGUUCCUGGCACAGGGUCUGUCACGUGGAAGACACGUUUGCUUUCCUGCCCCUUCCCACGGUCAGUGCAGCAGGGAGCAUAUACUUUUAGAAGUGUGUUUGUAUUUACAAUUUGUCCUCUUUUGGCACCUCAGAUAAUAUAUCUCCAUUUUAGAACUUCUCACACCUUGAGAAUCUCACUACCUAUAUAAAUACUUUCCUUCUUGUUAUCCAAAAGCUGCAUUAAAAUUUGAUCUCAUGAUUUUAAUCACUGAUACUUAUUUUUUACAAACUCAACAUUUAGGAAAAUAGGAAUUUGACCAAAGUUGUUCUAAAGCAAGACCUCAGAUGACUCCAUAAAGUUAAUAACGUAAGCAGCCAGUGUCCUGGCAGAUAAAAUACUCUGUAGGCCAAUCCCUGUGGGCCAGUGAGAAGGUGGAUAAAUGGCCUAGGUUGUGUGUGUAAGUGUGGACAUAGACCUCUUUAAGAUGUUAAAUUCUGCGGGUUUUUCUUGAGCACUGUCCUGUGCUUUAGCAUUGUCCUUGCUCCUAGAGGCCUGAAGAUGACCCAUCAGCCUUGGUCUCCCUCUUCAGAGCAGGGCUUGCCUUCUAGAGGUCAGGAGAGUGGGGCAGCCUGGGUGGAGGUGGGGGGCCUGUUCCAGCUGCCCAUGGCCUUAGAUAACUGAUCACUGGGCUUGUCUUAGGAGCCAGGGCCCCACUUGGAGUGUUGGUUUCUUUUGCAUUAGGGGAAGCCAGCAUUCCAGAGGAUACGGGAGAAGAGUGGGUGCACUCUUGGUUACCCAGUUUUCUAAAACCUCCCAAGUCCACCCUUUUCCUUAGCUGGCUCUUGUUCAAGGGGGAUCUUAGCCUCCACCACUGGUUUGCUUCUGCUGGAGUCUCCCUGGCCCCAGCUCCUUCCCUUUAACUCCUACUAUUCCUCUUCAGGGACCUAGGAUCAGCUGCCCCCAAUCUCACCCUUCCUGACUGUGCCCACCAUUAUCAAUGUGGCAGAAUUUGAAACCUUCCAUAUUCUGACUGCUGUAGAGCCAGGCCUUUUCUUCAAAACUCCCAUGAGAAAAACCGACCUCCACUCUUCUCAGAAUAAAAGCUUUCUCUUGUCACCUCCUGCUGCCCUCUGAUCUCAGGAGGCUCAGUAAAAUAGGAGUUAAGCACCCCAGGGCUACACAGGGGUUUUUUAUUCUCACUCCCUCAGUUCCAUGGCCCUCACUGGGAUGAGUAACUUCCAGGGUUGCCUGCCCGGGCCUGCAGGCCUGUACGCCAAGUGAGUAGGGCAGGCAGGGGGAUGGAAAGUGGGGAUGCAGGCCUCAUUUAAGAGGCCAGCAUCCCAGCAAUCAGGGCCUGGCUGACAGGCUCCUAGACACAGAGACCAAACCUGGAAGCCCCAUAAGGGGCAAAUGUAUAUCGCAUUAACUAUACCCCCAAGCCCACAGACACACAGCCAGGUGAACAUCAGUGUGAUCCCACAGAGUGGCCAGGACAGAUGGGGAAGCAGCUCAUAUCACUAGGAAAAUAAAAAGGUAAUUUUAAAAACA